RNAcentral lists this ribosomal RNA (330 nucleotides) under uncultured eukaryote. RNAcentral describes it as "partial 18S ribosomal RNA". It matches the Rfam family "Eukaryotic small subunit ribosomal RNA", at positions 1470 to 1796 of the family's 1831-position model. The record is from RNAcentral.
CCCUUAGAUGUUCUGGGCCGCACGCGCGCUACACUGACGAAGUCAGCGAGCAUCUCCUACGCCGAAAGGUGCGGGGAAUCUUGUGAAACUUUGUCGUGCUGGGGAUUGAUUUUUGAAAUUCUUGAUCAUAAACGAGGAAUUCCUAGUAAGCGCAAGUCAGCAGCUUGCGUUGAUUACGUCCCUGCCCUUUGUACACACCGCCCGUCGCUACUACCGAUUGAAUGGUUUAGUGAGAUGUUUGGACCGGAACUCUCUUGCUCAGCAAUGGGCGAGAGAGAGUCUGGGAAGUCCCUCUAACUGUAUCAUUUAGAGGAAGUAAAAGGCGUAACA